This 485-nucleotide ribosomal RNA is filed under the name uncultured bacterium. Its description in RNAcentral is "partial 16S ribosomal RNA". It matches the Rfam family "Bacterial small subunit ribosomal RNA", at positions 28 to 507 of the family's 1533-position model. The record is from RNAcentral.
GAUGAACGCUAGCGAUAGGCUUAACACAUGCAAGUCGAGGGGCAGCGAGGGUAGCAAUACCUGUCGGCGACCGGCGCACGGGUGAGUAACGCGUAUGUAACCUGCCCGCAACAGGGGGAUAACCCGGCGAAAGUCGGACUAAUACCGCAUAAAACAGGGGUCCCGCAUGGGAAUAUUUGUUAAAGAUUUAUCGGUUGCGGAUGGGCAUGCGUACCAUUAGGUAGUUGGUGAGGUAACGGCUCACCAAGCCUUCGAUGGUUAGGGGUUCUGAGAGGAAGGUCCCCCACGCUGGUACUGAGACAAGGACCAGACUCCUACGGGAGGCAGCAGUGAGGAAUAUUGGUCAAUGGGCGAGAGCCUGAACCAGCCAAGUCGCGUGAAGGAUGACUGCCCUAUGGGUUGUAAACUUCUUUUACAAGGGAAUAAAAUGAGAUACGUGUAUUUUAUUGCAUGUACCUUGGGAAUAAGCAUCGGCUAACUCCGUG